Molecule: non-coding RNA, 127 nt
Organism: Aspergillus heteromorphus CBS 117.55
Lineage: Eukaryota; Fungi; Ascomycota; Eurotiomycetes; Eurotiales; Aspergillaceae
Source: the annotation of a RefSeq genome assembly
GCCCGGAUGGUCUAGUGGUAUGAUUCUCGCUUCGGGAAAGGUAUCCUCCCCUACUAUUUACUAGUAGAUGUACUUGACACCUGUUAAGAAAUGCGAGAGGUCCCGCGUUCGAAUCGCGGUUCGGGCC